CUACGGGUCGCUGCAGUCGAGAAUCAUCCGCAAUGGGCGAAAGCCUGACGGUGCAAUGCCGCGUGGGGGAUGAAGGCCCUCGGGUCGUAAACCCCUGUCAGGAGGGACGAAGAAGUGACGGUACCUCCAGAGGAAGCCACGGCUAACUACGUGCCAGCAGCCGCGGUGAAUACGUAGGUGGCGAGCGUUAUUCGGAUUUACUGGGCGUAAAGGGUCCGCAGGGGGUUUGCCAAGUCUGGUGUGAAAUCUCACAGCUCAACUGUGAAACUGCGCUGGGUACUGGUGAACUAGAGUGCGCGAGGGGUGAGUGGAAUUCCUGGUGUAGCGGUGGAAUGCGUAGAUAUCAGGAAGAACACCAACGGCGAAGGCAGCUCACUGGCGCGCAACUGACCCUCAUGGACGAAAGCGUGGGUAGCAAACAGGAUUAGAUACCCUAGUAGUC
RNAcentral lists this ribosomal RNA (442 nucleotides) under uncultured bacterium. RNAcentral describes it as "partial 16S ribosomal RNA". It matches the Rfam family "Bacterial small subunit ribosomal RNA", at positions 339 to 795 of the family's 1533-position model. The record is from RNAcentral.